AAAUAUAAAAAAAUAAUAGAGAAAAGAAAGGGGAUGAUGUCCCAUUUUUCCUCUUUAGCCAACAUGUACUUUGACCAAUUAUUUUGGCUUUGCGAAAAAAUUUAAUCAAUCACCAAUUAAAUGAUGACACGUGGUGCACCAACUAAAGUAUGAAAGAAAAAUAAACAUCAUCAUAUUUAAAAAGAAUAAUAAAAAAAGGAAAUAAAAGCAAAUC
This 214-nucleotide long non-coding RNA is filed under the name Lathyrus oleraceus (garden pea). RNAcentral's name for it is "Pisum sativum (pea) long non-coding RNA (PSAT_LNC027560)". The record is from RNAcentral. Lineage: Eukaryota; Viridiplantae; Streptophyta; Magnoliopsida; Fabales; Fabaceae.